CCCUUAGAUGUUCGGGGCUGCACGCGCGCUACAAUGAAGAAAUCAACGUGUCAGCUCCCUGCCUCGAGAGGGGUGGGUAAUCCGUUGAACCUUCUUCGUGCUAGGGAUUGGGGCUUGUAAUUCUUCCCCAUGAACGAGGAAUUCCCAGUAAGCGCAAGUCAACAGCUUGCGUUGAUUACGUCCCUGCCCUUUGUACACACCGCCCGUCGCUACUACUGAUUGGAUGUUUAAGCGAGGUUCUCGAACUGCUAGCGACUUAGCUUCGGUGAGGUCGCAGUGUGGGAAGUGAACCUAGCUUUGGUGUCUAGAGGAAGUAAAAGUCGUAACA
This 328-nucleotide ribosomal RNA is filed under the name uncultured eukaryote. Its description in RNAcentral is "partial 18S ribosomal RNA". It matches the Rfam family "Eukaryotic small subunit ribosomal RNA", at positions 1470 to 1796 of the family's 1831-position model. The record is from RNAcentral.